UACGAGGGGGGCGAGCGUUGUUCGGAAUUACUGGGCGUAAAGCGUGCGUAGGCGGUUCGUUAAGUUGCUGGUGAAAUCCCGGGGCUCAACUCCGGGGCUGCCGGCAAGACUGGCGGGCUAGAGCACGGUAGAGGCGGAUGGAAUUCCCGGUGUAGCGGUGGAAUGCGUAGAUAUCGGGAAGAAUACCGGUGGCGAAGGCGUUCCGCUGGGCCGUUGCUGACGCUGAGGCGCGACAGCGUGGGGAGCAAACAGG
RNAcentral lists this ribosomal RNA (253 nucleotides) under uncultured bacterium. RNAcentral's name for it is "partial 16S ribosomal RNA". It matches the Rfam family "Bacterial small subunit ribosomal RNA", at positions 524 to 776 of the family's 1533-position model. The record is from RNAcentral.